Molecule: ribosomal RNA, 505 nt
Filed under: uncultured bacterium
Lineage: Bacteria
Description: partial 16S ribosomal RNA
Rfam family: Bacterial small subunit ribosomal RNA
Source: RNAcentral
GACGAACGCUGGCGGCGUGCCUAAUACAUGCAAGUAGAACGCACAGUUUAUACCGUAGCUUGCUACACCAUAAACUGUGAGUUGCGAACGGGUGAGUAACGCGUAGGUAACCUGCCUGGUAGCGGGGGAUAACUAUUGGAAACGAUAGCUAAUACCGCAUAAUAUUAAUUAUUGCAUGAUAAUUGAUUGAAAGAUGCAAUUGCAUCACUACCAGAUGGACCUGCGUUGUAUUAGCUAGUAGGUGAGGUAACGGCUCACCUAGGCGACGAUACAUAGCCGACCUGAGAGGGUGAUCGGCCACACUGGGACUGAGACACGGCCCAGACUCCUACGGGAGGCAGCAGUAGGGAAUCUUCGGCAAUGGACGAAAGUCUGACCGAGCAACGCCGCGUGAGUGAAGAAGGUUUUCGGAUCGUAAGGCUCUGUUGUAAGAGAAGAACGGGUGUGAGAGUGGAAAGUUCACACUGUGACGGUAUCUUACCAGAAAGGGACGGCUAACUACGUG